This 1006-nucleotide long non-coding RNA is filed under the name Marmota monax (woodchuck). The record is from RNAcentral. Lineage: Eukaryota; Metazoa; Chordata; Mammalia; Rodentia; Sciuridae.
AUGUGUGUGUGUGUGUGUGUGUGUGUGUAUAUAUAUAUAUAUAUAUAUAUAUAUAUAUAUAUAUAUAUAUAUAUAUAUAUAUCCCUUUUUCCUUAUCCAUUCAUCAAUUGAAGGACCCUUAGGCUGGCUCCAUGGUUUUGCUACUGUGAAUUGUUCUGCUAUAAACAUGGGCAUACAUAUAUCACUAUAGUAUACUGAUUUUUUUGACACUUGAUCACUGAGCCACACCCCCAGCCCUUUUUAUAUUUUUCUUGAGACAAGAUCUCACCAAGUUUCUCAGGAACUUGCUAAGUUGCUGAGGCUGGCUUUGAACUCACGAUCCUCCUGCCUCAGCUGGGAUUACAGGUGGGCACUGCUGUGCCCAGCCCUGACUUAAAUUCUUUAAUAUAAAUACUGAGGAGUGGUAUAGCUGGGUCAUAUGGUGGUUCCAUGCUUAAUAUUUUGAGGAACCUCCAUAGUGAUUUCCAUACUGUUCAUGCUAAUUUACAAUCCCACCAACUAUGUAAAAAUGCUCCUUUUUCUCCACAUCCUCUCCAGCAUUUAUUAGUUUGUAUUCUUUUUUUUAAUUGGUUGCUCAAAACAUUACAAUGAUCUUGACAUAUCAUAUAUCAUACAUUUGAUUCAAAUGGGGUAUGAAUUCUUAUUUUUCCCAUGUGUAGGUUGUAUUCUUGAUGACUGCCAUUCUGACUGGAAAAAGAGCAAAUAUCAAAUCUCACUGUAGUUUGAUUUACAUAUCCCUAAUUGCUAAUGAUGUCAAACAUUUUAAAAAUUAUUUGUUGGCCAUUCAUAUUUAUUCUGUGUCUGCUUUAUUUAUUUGCUCAUUUAUUAAUUUGCGUUACUUGGGUUUUUUGUUUUGUUUUUUUGGUGUUGAGUUUGAGUUCUUUGUACAUUCUAGAUAUUAAUCCUCUGUUAGAAGAGUAGCUAGCAAAGAUUUUUCUCCCAGCACUUUUCACACUCUUUUCACACUCUUGUUUCCUUUGCUGUGCAGAAGCUUUUUAAUUUGAUG